GUCUAUGGCCAUGCCACCAUGAACAAGCCUGAUGUUGGAAGCUAAGCAGGGUCAGGCCUGGUUAGUACUUGGAUGGGAGAUCACCUAGGAAGACCAGGUGCUGUAGGCA
This 109-nucleotide ribosomal RNA is filed under the name Pteropus alecto (black flying fox). RNAcentral also lists the same sequence under 1 other name. Lineage: Eukaryota; Metazoa; Chordata; Mammalia; Chiroptera; Pteropodidae. The record is from RNAcentral.